Molecule: ribosomal RNA, 253 nt
Filed under: uncultured bacterium
Lineage: Bacteria
Description: partial 16S ribosomal RNA
Rfam family: Bacterial small subunit ribosomal RNA
Source: RNAcentral
UACGUAGGGAGCAAGCGUUAUCCGGAUUUAUUGGGCGUAAAGGGAACGCAGGCGGUCUUUUAAGUCUGAUGUGAAAGCCUUCGGCUUAACCGGAGUAGUGCAUUGGAAACUGGGAGACUUGAGUGCAGAAGAGGAGAGUGGAACUCCAUGUGUAGCGGUGAAAUGCGUAGAUAUAUGGAAGAACACCAGUGGCGAAAGCGGCUCUCUGGUCUGUAACUGACGCUGAGGUUCGAAAGCGUGGGUAGCAAACAGG